This 443-nucleotide ribosomal RNA is filed under the name Kryptoperidinium foliaceum. RNAcentral describes it as "partial Bacterial large subunit ribosomal RNA". It matches the Rfam family "Bacterial large subunit ribosomal RNA", at positions 1364 to 1815 of the family's 2925-position model. Lineage: Eukaryota; Dinophyceae; Peridiniales; Kryptoperidiniaceae. The record is from RNAcentral.
GCUAAUCAGCUGAGGGUUAGUCGGGACCUAAGGCGUAUCCGAAAGGAGAAGUCGAUGGAAAACAGGUUAAUAUUCCUGUACCAGUUAAUAUUGCGAUGGGGUGACGGAGAAGUGAAAGGUCUGCGCGGCGACGGAAGUCCGCGUUAAAGGGUGUAGACGUUGAUUCAGUAGGUAAAUCCGCUGAUGAGUUGAACCUGAUAGUACUAAGCGUCUUUUAGACAAUUAGAUAUGACCCUAAUCAUGCUCCCAAGAAAAACCUCUAAGCUUCAGAUAUUAACUGCUCGUACCCUAAACCGACACAGGUAGUCAAGAUGAGAAAUCUAAGGUGCUCGAGUGAUUCAUGGCUAAGGAACUAGGCAAAAUGGUCUCGUAACUUCGGGAGAAGAGACGCUCCGCUUGCGGAGCCGCAGUGAAUAGGCCCAGGCGACUGUUUAUCAAAAACA